Molecule: ribosomal RNA, 253 nt
Filed under: uncultured bacterium
Lineage: Bacteria
Description: partial 16S ribosomal RNA
Rfam family: Bacterial small subunit ribosomal RNA
Source: RNAcentral
UACGUAGGGUGCGAGCGUUAAUCGGAAUUACUGGGCGUAAAGCGUGCGCAGGCGGUUAUGUAAGACAGGUGUGAAAUCCCAGGGCUUAACCUUGGAACUGCAUUUGUGACUGCAUAGCUAGAGUACGGUAGAGGGGGAUGGAAUUCCGCGUGUAGCAGUGAAAUGCGUAGAUAUGCGGAGGAACACCGAUGGCGAAGGCAAUCCCCUGGACCUGUACUGACGCUCAUGCACGAAAGCGUGGGGAGCAAACAGG